This 7503-nucleotide long non-coding RNA is filed under the name Setaria italica (foxtail millet). RNAcentral's name for it is "long non-coding RNA (SITA_LNC006544)". Lineage: Eukaryota; Viridiplantae; Streptophyta; Magnoliopsida; Poales; Poaceae. The record is from RNAcentral.
GAUGGUCUUCGGUGAUAGUAGGGUGGAGGAAAAAUUCGAGGAAAGGAUCUGGUUGAGCGUUAACCGUGAGUUCAAUGAGAUCAACGUCCUACAAAGUCUUAUAACUUCUUUUGGUGCCAAACAUGAAGGCUGUGCGGGAAACAAGGACCUACUUCAGCGUGCCCUGAAGGAUACGAUCCGGCAAAAGAAGAAGUUUUUGUUGGUGAUGGAUGAUGUGUGGAGGGAAAAUGUGUGGUAUAAGCUGCUUAGAGAGCCGCUCAAUCAUGGUGCUUCUGGCAGUCGAGUCUUGGUGACCACAAGAAAUGAUGGAGUUGCUCAUGGGAUGAAAGCUCAACAUCUCCAUCCAGUUCACAAGCUAACAACGGAAGAUGCUUGGAUUUUGCUAAAGAACCAGGUCAGUAAUAACUUUUAUUUAUUACAGUAAUUAUUUAUGCAGUAAUUUGAAUUUACUGUAACAACUUUUAUCUCUUCUUAAUUACUUUCUCUCCCUUGGAGGAAUGCACGAUAGCCCACUGCUCGUUAUUUCUCUUGUCGCUCUUGUCCGAUCUGAUUACGCAAAGGACCAUGUAAUUUCACUACGAGCCUUUUAUCAUACUUUCAUAAGCUCUUGGCUUAGCAAAACUUGUCUCAUGGUUAUAUUUAGUUGAACAUAUCCUAUUGACGUUGAGGGAAGUUUUGUUUAGUGCAAGGAAUCGGAUACCGUAGCCUAAGAGGGGGAGAGGGUGAAUUAGGUAACUUAAAACCUUAAUCUAUAGCUUCCGCUACUUUUGCAUCAAAUUUAAUUAGAUCAUGUAUCAAGAUGUGUAACUAUGGUUGAUCUAGUGUGAAAUCCUCAUCCUAAAAUUAGUUUUGCAACCUAGAGGCAAUCCUAACAAGAUACUACACUAAGAAUGUAAAGGCACACAAGUUGCAAGUAUGAAAUGUGGAAAUGAAAAGGAGGGGAUGAGGGGAAGCAAACUCUUGACACGAUGAUUUAUCCCGUUGUAUCGGUAGGCACUAAACCACCGCUAGUCGACAUUGUUGAAGCACUCACACAAGAGUAUUGCUUUCCGGUCACCAAGUCUCUCUCGGGAUACUCCUUGCUUUGCCACGAAGGCUUGGCCGCUAAGGCUCACGUCAAAUUCUCAGGUCACCUUGAUACCAUCUCCACAAAGGAGCUUCUCCACGAAGGAAGGGGGUCUCCACGUUCCCUGCAUAUUGUCGUCGACGCCGAUCCAUGCCAAACCGGAGGGUCGAAGACUUACCGGCGAACUACCAAGGCUCCAAGAUAGCACACCUUGUACAGCUGUGGUUCACUCCUAGAACCGAUCACAAGGCAGGCACACCUUGCACUCUCUCUUCUCUAGGCCUAUCCUAGCACUAAAUAUUCUUAUAAGCUUGUGCUAAGCCUUUGAUUAAUCACUUAUGCACUUUUGGUGGCUUGGAUGUGUUCUUGAUGAGUCUUGAUCUCCAAUGGACUUCUGCAUACUCCAGCUUCAUCCAGCAACUCCAAUGGGUGAGUGGAGGGGGUAUAAAUAGCCCAAGAACUCAAAGAGCCGUUGCUCCAACGGCUAGUUAAAGUAUACCAUCGGAUGUUCCGAUGGUAUCAUUCGGGGUAGCAUUCGAACAUCUGGUUCUACCAGCCCUUGCCUCCCCGCGCUUAGAUUCUACUCAAGUUCCUCACCGACGCAAUCCAUCGAUUGAUCAAGUGGUCCCUCUAGCACCCAUCGGAUCAUCCGGUGCAGUAGCUUCCUAUGCCAAAACGUCUCUGUUAGUUUCUAAAAUAAAUAUGCUUCAUCCGAUGCCCCCACGACACAUAGCGUCGGAUCAUCCGGUGCCUCCUUCUUUCUUCUCUUUGCUCCGGCGAUUCAUCCGAUGGAUACAAAACUUAGGCCAUCGAAUCAUCCGAUGGUCCUACUUUGACUUGGUCUCCACAUGGCGUACCAAAAGCUCCGAUGCUUGCACCGAUGCUUUUUCAACUGGCCAUCGAAACAUCCGAUGGUCUCAAAAACCUGCUUCACGCUUGGCACCGACUGAUUCGGUGGGCACCUUCUUCUUGUCACCAGAUGAAUCGGUGACUAUAAUGAUUCCUGUUUUUCUUUGAUUCUUUGCUUAUCUUUGGUUGUGGUUGCUUCCUCAGGACCUAUAAUACCUUCAAGAUAUGUUUUCAAUGCUUUGUUAGUCCUGAUGACCGUGUUGUCACAUUAAUCACCAAAAUCACAAACAAAUAGCCUAUUCGGGGCCAUGUUUGCUACAUUUAGGCUAUUCCCAAUGGGGAUUUCAUAAGAGUUUCAUUUAAUGAUGCGACACACCAACAAUUUUGAUGAUAUGGCAUGCUAAUAAUCAUGAAGAGAGAGAGGGAAUGAGUUUAAUCCUGAUUAAACUAUGUAUACAUUGUUUCCAAGACUAUGAAACCUGAUGAAACUAGCAUUGGGGAUUAGAGAGUUUCAUUUCAUCUCAUAACAUCCAAUCACAUACCUCGCAAUUAAACGUUAUGUCCAGCCUAUGAAAUCGCGAAAUGAAACUCUCCAUUGGGAGAUCUUGUGUCAUACAUCCACUCAAACAUCUUUCGAUGACGUACCACUCUUGAAAAUUGUAAUUGAAAUUUCCCACUGGGAAUAGCCAUGGUUGCUCUAGAGUCUAGACUCUAUUUAAGUCACUUCAACUUUUUCCCUACACACAACCCCUGCAACAGUUAUGAUACAACAUAAAAUCCAUUGGGAGCUUUUCGAUUCUAGCACCAUUUCCUCUCUCAAACUUGCUGCAUUUUUUUUCCAAUACUAGGUAGUUUCGAAUGAGAGUGAUGAAGCCGAUGUCGAUGAAUUGAAGAGUAUCGGGAUGGAAAUUGUUGAAAGAUGUGACUGCUUGCCGUUAGCAGUUAAGGUCCUUGGAGGACUCUUGCGUCACAAAAGGAGAACAAGGGAUGCCUGGACGGAUGUUAGUAGCCACGAUAUUUGGUCGACAAUAGGAAGCGAUGAAGAUAUUAAUAAAGCGGUCUAUUUGAGUUAUGAAGAUUUGCCUUCACACUUGAAGCAAUGUUUUGUGUAUUGUUCGCUAAUCCCUAAAGAUCACUUGAUAUCGAGUGGAGUAAUAGUCAAGCUUUGGAUUGCAGCAGGUCAUGUACACAACAAGAUGAGCUGUAAGGUACCAGAAAAGUUGGGGAAAGAAUACUACAACGAAUUGGUUUCAAGAAAUCUUCUAGAACCAGACAAAAGUUACUAUAGUACAGUAGUAUGCAGGAUGCACGAUGUUGUCCGUUCCUUCGCUCAGUAUAUAAUUAAAGAUGAAGGGAUACUUAUUAGUGAUGGGCAGGAUGUUAAUAGAACUCUUAGCACUGCAAAGCUUCGGCACCUAUCUAUCUCAAACACGACAGUAGGGCAUGACACUUUGCAAAAACAAGCCUUGCUUAGAACAUUAAUUUUAUUCGGAAGCAGUACCACUGUUGAGCUAAAGGAUCUGUUGAACAACCUUUCUUGCCUGAGAGUACUACAUCUAGUAAAGGUAGAUUUAGUCGAGCUGCCAGACUCCAUAUGCCACCUCAAACAUUUAAGAUACUUGUGUAUUUGUAACGCAAGCAUAUCCAGAAUUCCUCAAGGCAUAGGAGAUCUAAAAUUUCUACAAUCUAUUGACCUUGAUGGGUGUGCAAAUAUUCAUCAACUUCCUAACAGCAUCCUAAAGCUGCGGAAGCUAAGGUCACUCAACUUGAGCGACACGGCAAUCACUUCAAUUCCUCGUGGCUUGGGAAAACUAGAAGAUUUGGUCACCAUAAGGGGGUUUCCAACACAUUAUUCAGAUGAGAGCACAGGUGGCUGGUGCAGCAUAGAAGAACUCAGACCUCUGUCGAAGCUCCAAAGCCUUGAAAUAAUAUGUCUGGAGAAGGCACCUUCCGGUUCUAUGGCUGCUAAAGCAAACCUUAGCAGUAAACAUCACCUGACAUGGCUAGAUUUGGUAUUUACCAGCAGGCUAGGAGACAACGGGGUGGUCGAAGGCAACAUUAGCGAGGAGGAACACAGGAGAACAGAGGAGGUGCUGGAUAAUCUGUGUCCUCCAACUUGCAUGGAAGAACUUGAUAUAAAAGGCUACUUUGCACGUGGGCUACCGCAGUGGAUGAGAACCAUGUCAGCCUUUGGGAGCUUAAGGCGGUUGGUGCUACAUGACUACGCAUGCUGCCCGCAUCUACCUAAUGGAUUGGGGCAGCUCCCCUUUCUUGAUUAUUUUUGGGUCAAACGUGCUCCGUCUGUCCGGUGCGUUGGGCACGAUUUCCUCUUCCCCUCCUUGGGUGGUCAAGCUGAUGGCAAAGUAACACGGAACAAUAACAGGCAGCCUCAUCAUACUUCGCGUGGUGCUGGUGUUGCUUUUCCCAAGCUGUCAGAAGUGGGUUUUGUAGGCAUGCUGGGAUGGACGAAUUGGGAGUGGGAGCAGCACGUCCCAGCGAUGCCUACACUAGAGGAGCUUACAAUCAGAAACUGCAAACUGCAACACCUUCCUGCAGGGCUUGCAUACCAUGCAUGCCGGUUGAGAGAGUUGGACCUGAGAAAUAUCCAGCUCUUGGUCUGUGUGGAGAACUUCCCUUCACUAGUCAAGCUUUGGUCAUAUGACAACCCAAGGCUGGAGAGGAUCAGCAACAACCCAAGCUUGCAAUGGAUUGACAUUAGCAAUUGCCGAGCACUAGAGGAAUUGGACGGUUUGCCAUCCCUCCUAAGCCUUGAGUGGUGGAAUUUGAGUGCUGAAGCACUCCCAGAAUACUUGCGAGAGGCAAAGCUAAAGAAAUUGCGUGUAGAUUGCAGCCGAAGAUUGCUCAAACUGAUAGCACUACAAGAUGAAUCCUCCGAAUGGGGAAAGAUCCAGCAUGUCCAGCAACUAAAGGUGUAUGGAUGCAAGAUAGAAGGAGAAGCGGAGGAAGCCGACCAAUCGCACGAAGAUGAGGAUGCCGAGUGGUACAUCUACUGUACCAAGGAGCCGUAUUCAUUCGACGCAUACCUGGGCAAGUCCACGGGUGAGUUCAUCUUCGACCUACUCGGUGGUUUUAUAACUGUAUGUGUGUACACUCAUGUAAAAAUGGAUUUCUAACUGUAUAUUCACCUGCGCACAGGAUGAAGAUGAAGCAGAAGUAGACGAGGUGAACGAAGAGCAGAGUCCAGGAAUAGAACAUAGUAAGAAUGCAAGGAACAGAGGAAGCUCUCAGGCUGUUACGACAGGAGGAGCAUUCGAAUCCAUCCACCAAAUACUAGGUAUGAAUUGCCCAAAUACUAAUGGUCUUGUAGUUGUACACGCCAAAUUGGCUGUGACUAUUCUAACUGGAAAGCAUUGUCGUGUUAACGCAGGAGAAGAACACAUCGCAAUUGGCAUACUGUCCCUCAAAUUCGUAAGUUGUAUAUGUUUGUGUGCGAAAAAUAUAAUACAUCAGUAAGGCGCGAGCGUCUCUCUAACCAGUUGUUGUGACGCUCAGGAAGGGAGCGCCAGCACGGGCGGCCUUGGACUCGUUGGAGCGAAUACGCGUCGGGGACGAGCGAUGGGCUGAGAGCUGAAGCACUGAACGUGCGCGCGAAGGGCAGCAGGGAAGGGAUUUGCACAUUUAGCUCCCAGGAUUUGCACUUCUUGUUGGCGUAUUUGUAGGCAGGUCUGCACUCCAUCUCUUCUUUUUGGUUGGUCUGUGCUAGCUCGUCAGACUUUCUACAGUGUUUUUGAAUGUUCGAUAACAAAUGAGUGUAGGAAUUUGCAGACGUGCUCUAUGAUGCCGAGAUAACAAUUGCAUCCCCCCCUCAUGGAUCCUCUGGAAAGCUGAAGCUACUCUGCAAGACUGCAACGAUUGCAGCAACACGGACGUGCCUACUAAAAACAUGGUGCAAUAAAACUGCGAAAUGCUAAACAAGGUCAAGCCGGCAGCCAGGUGAGCAACAUUCCAGGCAGCAGGCAUAUUCUGAGCCGUUCAGCGUGGACCGGAGCCAACAACGGGGAUAAGAAGUCCCAACUAGUAGUAGUUGGCAGCCAAUGCGGUGGCCAAAAUUUGACCAAGCCAAGGCUAGUAAACAGCAAAUUUUGUAGCAAACCAAAAUUAAAAUGCGACGUAACCAAAGCGCUGGCGUAACCAUGUCGACAUUAGACCUGAUUUGUUAAUACGUGCUGAGAUGGCGAGGCAUAUCUUGUAACCAGCGACGAAGAGAAGAGUUCAAGCUGCAUUGGAUACAUGUGCUCCUGCCUCCUGGGGGUUAGUUGAGGCGUCUCUCUUUUGCACCUCAUCAAUAGAGACAAAUAAUUUGAGUUGCAUAUUUUUUGACUACUGACUGGACACCCAAUCGAGGUCCACAAAAAUAUGGAGUAGCGUACUCUUCUGGCCCUCCUAUGCGUUGAACUUCUUCGCCUCACCAUCUCAUCUGCCCAUCCGUGAUUUUCCAUCGACCGGCCAGGCCUUCCUUCUGUAUAAAGCGUCUCCUAAAUCACCGCAGAGUGUACACCCACACAUAUCUGAAAUCUAGUCAUCUUCCUUAGUCAUCUUCCUUUUGCUCUCUGCUUUGCUACCCUGUUCCCCGACCAUGGCAGAGCUGCUGGACGAGUUCGCGUCCAAGCUUGUGGGCAUCCUGGCAGGCAUGGUGAAGGAGGAGGUGGAGAUGCUCCUCGGCGUGCCGGGUGAGGUCACCAAGCUCGAGACCACGCUCCGCGACCUGAGCCACAUCUUGGGUGAUGCGGAGAGGAAGCGCAUCCGUGACAAGGCUACGGAGGGUUGGGUGAGGGAGCUCAAGGACGUCAUGUACGACGCCGAUGACGUCCUUGACCUCUGCCAGCUCAUGGAAGGCGGAGAAGAUCCUCCCGCACCAACAUCUGCUCCGAAAACCACCUCAAGGUGCUGGGACAUCCCCAAGAUGUUUUUUUGCUUCCGCAACCCUGUUGCGGCACAUGAGAUUGGAACGAAGAUCCAAGCGAUCAACCAGCGACUGGAAGACCUGGCAAAGAGGAGCUCCCGUUUCGGAUUCAUCACCCAAGCCAUCCAUUCCUCAGCUGAUUCAAUCAACGAAGCUUGGAAUUCUUUGUCCGACGAGACUGGAUCGGUUUUUAUCCGGUCUGAUGUUGUCGGCGAGAAGAUUGAGGAUGACACGAAGAAAAUUGUUGAUCUACUCAUCAAGAAGGUGGAUGCUCCUGUAGGAUCAAGGGCCAAUAGUGAUGUGGUUGUUGCUGUUGCUAUCACAGGCACAGGUGGGAUAGGCAAAACCACUCUUGCUAAGAUGGUCUUCGGUGAUAGUAGGGUGGAGGAAAACUUCAAGGAAAGGAUCUGGUUGAGCGUUAACCGUGAGUUCAAUGAGAUCAAUGUCCUACAAAGUCUUAUAGCUUCUUUUGGUGCCAAACAUGAAGGCUGUGCGGGAAACAAGGACCUACUUCAGCGUGCCCUGAAGGAUACAAUCCGGCAAAAGAAGAAGUUUUUGUUGGUGAUGGAUGAUGUGUGGAGCGAAAAUGUGUGGUAUAAGCUGCUUAGAGAGCCGCUCAAUCAUGGUGCUUCUGGCAGUCGAGUCUUGGUGACCACAAGAAAUG